AGCGUGAAUCACGACGCGAGCUCUGCUCUGAAGUCAGCGGCGGACGGGUGCACGUCAACACGGUGGGGCAACCUGCCUGUAAGACUGGGAUAACUUCGGGAAACCGGAGCUAAUACCGGAUAAUGCACAGCCUCUCAUGAGGCUAUGCUGAAAGAUGGUUUCGGCUAUCACUUACAGAUGGGCCCGCGGGCAUUAGCUAGUUGGUGAGGUAACGGCUCACCAAGGCAACGAUGCGUAGCGACCUGAGAGGGUGAUCGGCCACACUGGGACUGAGACACGGCCCAGACUCCUACGGGAGGCAGCAGUAGGGAAUCUUCCGCAAUGGACGAAAGCUGACGGAGCAACGCCGCGUGAGUGAGGA
This 361-nucleotide ribosomal RNA is filed under the name Bacillus sp. MNJ-006. Its description in RNAcentral is "bacterial SSU rRNA". It matches the Rfam family "Bacterial small subunit ribosomal RNA", at positions 65 to 411 of the family's 1533-position model. The record is from RNAcentral. Lineage: Bacteria; Bacillati; Bacillota; Bacilli; Caryophanales; Bacillaceae.